GAUGAACGCUAGCUACAGGCUUAACACAUGCAAGUCGAGGGGCAGCGCAGUGUAGCAAUACAUGGGCGGCGACCGGCGCACGGGUGCGUAACGCGUAUCCAACCUUCCCGUUACUCAGGGAUAGCCUUCCGAAAGGGAGAUUAAUACCUGAUGGUGUUCAAAUUCCGCAUGUUAUUUGAACUAAAGAUUCAUCGGUAACGGAUAGGGAUGCGUGACAUUAGGUAGAUGGCGGGGUAACGGCCCACCAUGCCUACGAUGUCUAGGGGUUCUGAGAGGAAGGUCCCCCACACUGGAACUGAGACACGGUCCAGACUCCUACGGGAGGCAGCAGUGAGGAAUAUUGGUCAAUGGUCGGAAGACUGAACCAGCCAAGUAGCGUGAAGGAUGAAGGUUCUAUGGAUUGUAAACUUCUUUUAUACGGGAAUAAAACCACCUACGUGUAGGUGCUUGUAUGUACCGUAUGAAUAAGCAUCGGCUAACUCCGUGCCAGCAGCCGCGGU
Molecule: ribosomal RNA, 500 nt
Filed under: uncultured bacterium
Lineage: Bacteria
Description: bacterial SSU rRNA
Rfam family: Bacterial small subunit ribosomal RNA
Source: RNAcentral